Molecule: long non-coding RNA, 3308 nt
Organism: Brassica napus (rape)
Lineage: Eukaryota; Viridiplantae; Streptophyta; Magnoliopsida; Brassicales; Brassicaceae
Exons: 2
Source: RefSeq, a predicted model, not a curated record
GAAACAGCGACCAUAACCUCGAUUGGUCUGGUUCGUUCUUUCUGAAUUUUCUACCGCCGUAGCAUUCACUUCAGGGAAUGCUUUGGCUCCCGUAGGUCGGGAAUUGUGGUUUUUGAUUAAGAGCUCAUUGUUCUUUUCAGCCAACAUGAGCGCAACCAUCAAUUCAGAAAAUUUCGUGUACCCGCAUUUUCUGUAAAUUUCGGGCAAGAAGUGAAGCUGUUUGUGGAAAGUGUUAUAUGUUUUAUUCAUCACUUCUGCCUCAGAGACAUGAUUACCGCCAUACUUCAGGAGUGCAACUAUCCUCAGGACAGCAAAAUUGUAAUCAUCAACCUUUUGAAAAUCUUGGAACCUCAGAUUUUUCCACUCUUCUAGAGCGUGAGGGAGGUUGAUUUGUCUCUGGUUAUCGAACCUUUCUUUUAUAGUUUGCCACAGUUCAUCUGGGUCCUCGACGUUUGCCUAGUCGUGCGUUAGAUUUUCAUCUAAAUGCUUCUUCAGAAAGAUUAUCGCUUCGGCUAUAUGCUCAGGUGGUGAUUUGUUACCGAUUACAAUUGUUUCGGUUAUCUUUUUCAUCACCAGAUAUGGUUUCACGUUUGUGACCCACCCGACGUAAUUUUCGCCAGUUAUUUUUAGGGCCGGGAACUGGAGUUUCUCGAUGUUUGCUAUUUGUAUUUCUAAAACACAAAAUAAAAUAUUUUAUUAGAAUUUCGUAAUUUUAAUCGAACCAUUUAUAUUGAUAAUACACACAAUUACAAGGCGAAGCAACGCAUAUAAAAUUAAACCGACAUUAAGCGCAAAUUCUCGAGGAGCAAAUUCUCCAAUAAAAAGACCAUACAUAGAAGCAAAAAUAAAAAAUGCACAUAAGACCAAAAAUAUGCGAAUCAUCUUUCUUGUAAUGAAAAACCGGGAUGAAGCGAUUUGUAAAUAUUUGAGAGAAGAUGAAAUGUUUUGGAUGAAGUAAAUGAGUGAAGUAUGAGUUGUAUUUAUAGAUGAAAAUCACUGUUCAUGACCGUUGGAGAAAGGUAAAAUUUUUGAAAAAUUUUCUUUGUGACCGUUGGUGUUAAAUCGAGUGCACCAAAAAUCAGUCUGAAAAUAUCGUAUUAAACAGUCAAUCAAUUCUAUAAAAUUUCAUAAAAAGUAAAAAAAUUAUGGCAAUGAAAUAUUUAUGUUAUGACAAUAAAUCAUGCGACGACUCAGCCGGUCAAUGCAUAGUAAUAAAUAAAUUAUACGGCGGCUCGGCCGACCAAUUAAUAAUAAACAGAAUAUAAGACGGCUCGGCCGACCAAUAAAUAAUAAACAGAAUAUAAGACGGCUCAGCCGACCAAUAAAUUAAUUAAAUUACUAAUAAAUAAUAUAUGCGGUAUUCCGGCCAUUAUAACAUGAUAUAAAUAAUAGUAGAGGCGGUAUACCGACCAUUAUGGCAUGGUAUAAAUGAUACAAAUAAAUUUUACCAAAUUGAAGAACGAUCAUGCUGAUAAUGUGUUAUAAAAAGAAUUGGAAUUUUAUUGUAUCGCGGGAAUUUAAAUAAGGACAAAAUUUAUACCCGUAGAAUUUUUAAUACUGAUAGAAAGAGUUUAUUAUAGAGAGAAGAGAAUGUUGAUGGAUGAUUUAUAAACGAUCGAAUCGAUCGUUUAUAUAGAAAUUAAAAAAGUAGAAUUUACUGUACAAAUAGUACAGCGGACCCCACAUCUUUUUUCUUUCAACAAUUGCGGUGGGUGCUUUCGUAACAAAUUAUAACUUUUAUUGGAAAUUCUCUAGUGCUAACCAGAGGAGUCCUUCAUUUUGUGAAGAACAUUAAAGCUUGAAGUGAUAUGGUGGUGAUCGUGACUCGUGAUCACGUUUUUGUAGUCCCUGAUACCAAAAUUUAACUCUAUUUGUUUCUUUUUAAUUUGGCAUUUCAUGUCUUUCUAACUUGUUUUGUUAUGAUCUCACAAUCUAUCUGACAAAUCUUGAUCUUAAAAUUUUAAUAUUUGAGUCUUCUUUUUGAAAUUCUACCAUGUCGCUAUCUCUAGAUUGGGUUGUAGUGAGAUAUACAUGAAUAAACAUGGUGUAGAAGCUUAGACAAGUUAUAUUUGUGGAUGUAGUCACAUGUAAGCUACAUCAUUGAUAUGGGUAUGGUCAUAGACAUCAUGAGUCCCAACAACAGAAAUUCCAUUAUCUCUGCCUGCAAUAAACUCAACAAAACCCAUCUUUAGCUUACUCAUUCACUGCGCAAGAUAAUCUUCACAUCAAAGACGAAAAUUAGAACUCACAACUUGGUAAGGUCUUCUAUCCACUCUCAUCCGGAUCAAUCCAACCUAAAAGAUUCACAACAGGGUCGUUGACAUUGUCCAUCCCAUUGUACAAAUUUGUUAACCCCACAAAACCAAGACCUUUCAAGAUCUCAGGCACAUCUCGCAACACAACAUCACAUAACUACCACUUCUGUGUUGUUGUCACAGCAGAUCACAUCAGAUUGUCCAUCUUCACCAUACUUCCUAAUCACGUUCGUUAAGCACCGAGAACUUAAGGUUUUCUACCUCUCUGGUAAUGUAGAUAGCGAUGUCAGUGCUUAGAUCAAGUGUGCAUCACGUAGAUGCAAAAAGUAUCCAACCAGGGGAAUACAUUAGUAUAGAGAGGAUCACAUUGAAGUUUUUACAUAUCUCGUCUGCAAAUAUAUCCAUCCCAUAAUCAGCCUUGACCGGAUCACUCGUCCUACACAUUGAGCUGUUUGGCUCUGUUUUAUAGCCAAAAAAAAGUCAACAUUAAUAGUCACAAACAGAUGAAGGAUUUGCACCAAAAUAUACAUAAAGAUCAUAACAUUAUAAUUAGACCAAGGAGAUCAAAAGUUAGCAUCACGCAAAUACUCCAAAUCUCCUGAAAUAUUGUGUUCCCUUUUCUGGUUUAGAGGAUAUAUCUGAUAAUAAUUUUGUCGAAAUCUGAUUGAGAGGAUAUAUCUUUGUUGUUGAUUGGUGAUUCACAUCCUUUUUGUUCUUUAUCUGAUUCUCGCAUGUUCUUAAAUCUUCUUUAUUUGCUGACCUUGUAUUCAAACAGAUCUUUUUAAAAAAGUUUUUGUCUAGACAUGAGUUUACGUUUAAUUGACAAUGUCACCACUUCUUCAUAUAGUGAUGUUCCUCUGUUCUUUUCUUGAAGGAACAAAAACAAAUGGGUGCGCAAAUUAUAUACUGUGAUGGCUUCGAGGUGUCAAUGUCUUUGAACCUCCCAAAACCAUAGCUCUCACAAAUACUUUUGCUUUUACCUUGCAGAGAAUGAAAACAUUUUCAUCUUGUGUUUCAAAGAAAUAUUUUUUAUGUUGUUUAUCUCCUUGUCGA